RNAcentral lists this unclassified non-coding RNA (372 nucleotides) under soil metagenome. RNAcentral's name for it is "partial contains 5.8S ribosomal RNA, internal transcribed spacer 2, and large subunit ribosomal RNA". The stretch from base 1 to 120 matches the Rfam family "5.8S ribosomal RNA", at positions 35 to 154 of the family's 154-position model. The record is from RNAcentral.
GAUGAAGAACGUAGCGAGAUGCGAUAAGUAAUGUGAAUUGCAGAAUUCAGUGAAUCAUCGAAUCUUUGAACGCACAUUGCGCCCCCCGGCAUUCCGGGGGGCAUGCCUGUUCGAGCGUCUCCAGGACGAAUCCUCGCGCGAGUGAACGCGCGGUCGUGGCGGAGGUGGCGUGCCCGAGCAGGGCGGCCACCGCACUGGAAUCCAUGGGCGGACGCCUGCCGCGUGGCCGAGCGUGAUAUGACGCAUUGGCGCUCGUGCGCGGCGAGGCUGCCAGCCCUGGCCCGUCUGUCGGGCGGGGUAGAUCACCACGUGGGAACUCCUCGAAUCAGGUAGGGAUACCCGCUGAACUUAAGCAUAUCAAUAAGCGGAGGA